CGCCGCCGGCGGCCGGAGGUUUGUGCGUUUCGGAGCCGACCCGCAGCAUCAGAAACAAACAGCAACAGCCUGUGGCGGCGGCGGCGGCGGCGGCCGACAGACGUGACAAGAGGAGCUGAAUUAACAACGUGAAGUUCAUUUAAAAGCAUCUCUGACCUUUUCCUGAAACGAGGCGGCAGCGGGAACGGCAGCAGCUCAGCGGGCGGAGGGACGUCCUGCAGCAGAGGACAGAGACGGCGCGUCCUCCGGCCAACAAUAAACACCGCAGGACCUUCAUGCCACAUGUAACGUUUGGCCGUCAUCAGACCCGGCCUCGCCGUGGCGUCCACCAGGGCUCCGUACUGGGCUGGUUUGUUUCUGCUGUACAUUUACUCAGCAGUUCAUCAUGUCGUCUCUUUCUGCCUGUUUUUUAUUUUAUUGCUCCUUUAAAAUGUCUCAGGUCCACAUUCAGCUCUUUGACUCUCUGUCUUUCACACAUAAACUGAUGGCUUACAUUGCAUAAUAAUAUUCCUAACAGUAAGGAAAACUUUUGCCUAGUGGUAUUCCUCAGGUUUUAGACAUAAAAACAUAACAUAAAAAAUCUGGCAGUUAUUUUUGAUGAAGUUUUCAGAAAAACAAACCAAACAGCUUCUUAAGAUCUUCUUGUUGUUCAUGUCUAAACAAAACGACCUUCAGCUGAAACAUAACUGCAGCCAAACUGAACCUCGUCUUCAAAUCUCUUCACUCUGUAGAAUAUCGCUUUAACUUUUACAUCUCAGUUUGACAUUCAGAGACAAAUCCUGCCAAGAAAAUCCAAUCUGCUGUUGAUCGUUGGAUUCUACUGAUUUUAAAAAGCCAUUUAAUUUAAACAAACACUUUGGCCUCAGUAGCUGCGUUUCCAUUGGUCAUAGAAAUGCACAAACUGGAAUUAUACAAAUAAAGUCACUUAAUGGAAACACAGCAACUAAGAAAAAAUGUUUUUUGACUAAAUGUUUUGGAGAUAGGAUGAGCUGUUUUCUGGCAGCAUUGAAAUUGGUGUGUUUAGCAAAACUGGAUUGGAAAUUUCAUGAUCAGCAACCGAAUGUUUCUACAGGUGGAAACGACAAAGAAGAUGACAGGAAGUGGUAGAGGAUGAUGUUUAAUGACUUAUCAUGUGAACAAACGGUAUUCACAUGUGAUCUUAACUUAUCUAAUGGAAACAUUACAACUGUUAAACUGUUUAUGACAUUAGCAGAAUAUCUGUCAUUAGUCAUAGAAACAGCUACUUCUACCUGGGCUGCUGUGAACAUUAUUAUAUUAAAUGUUUUUCCUAUGAAGCUCUUCUGAGAAAGGUGCUAAAUAAAUCAAAGUUGCUCGUUUGCUCACCUCCAGGCAUGUGGAUGCUGAUCCAGGUAAAAUCCGUCCUGUGGAGGUAAAUAAUGCAGCAUAAAAACAUGCAGACCGAGUUCAGGAAGUGGAUAAUCUUUGUGCUUCAUCUCAUAAAUGCCAACGAUAACUGAAGAUAAAAUUAGAUUUGCUGCUAACUUUGAAGAAAAGCAGAAAUGGCAUUGAUCUCUGGGAAAACCCAGAGCGAUGCAAAGCGUACAGCUGGAGUCAAAAUGCAGCUUCAAAGUAAACAAAUCAUUUUUUUCCGUCUUAGAAAACGUUUUGCGUAACGAAUGAGCGCCAGAGGUAAAGAUUUGGCCCCCUGCUGCUGUUAAUUAACUUCCUGUCAUGAUGGCGGUCCUGAACCAACUUCCACUGUUUUCCCUCUUCUGGGUUUCAACCCGUCAGACUGAAUUAUUUAGUUUCUAGAAACUUAUGAUUCGUGACGGGAAAGUAAAUGUUUGUCUUUAUUUAAACUUUGGUGUAAUUUGUCAAACAGAAAAAUAUUUCCUGGCUUGUUGCAUUUUUAGUCUCGUUUUGUAAUUUAAUCUGAAGUCCAUAAUUUAAACUAUGUUGGGUGAUUUAUAGAAAAGCUAAAGUCACGUUGUUAAUGUUUUACCUGCACAGGUAAUGGAGGGAAAAUGUUCAGCGUCUCCAACCGACCAGAGAUGAACAAAAACCCAAAACAAAGAGAUAAACGGACAAACUAGAGAUUCAAUCUCUGGAUGUUUUGGCCAAAUUUCAUUAAAGUCCAUCUUUGAUAAACACAACAGCUAAAAUCUGACGCCUCCAUCUUGUUUCCAUUCGGUGAAGAAGGAAGUUGCUCUCAGAGUCUUCAGAGGUUUUUGUGUGAUUUCCUUCGGUGAUUCUUGGUGCAGCGCCCCCACAGGCCAGGAGGGGAACAGGUUGGUGACUCAGGGCAGUGAGAAAUGUCAGGAGGGAAAACAGCCAAAAAAAAGAACCUGCAUGGCAGAUUCACAGUUUUUCUCCACCAAAACCAACAUGUCAUCAUUUCAUUGACUUCAAUCUAUUACAAAAGCAUUUCUAAAGUAACUUCAUGUUUUAGUUUUUUCUAAUGAAGGACAGGACAAUUUACAGUUUACUGCCUUUAGCCAUCGAGCUUGACAUUGUAAAGAUUCGUUGUUGGUCCCAUUUGUGCCUCAACAUCUGAAUUCCUGCUUUACAAAUGGGUAAAAUUCAAUCUUUGAAAUUGGGAUAUUCUUCUCUGACUCCGUCCUCUCGCUGUGAUUUCCUGCUGGACAGUGAAAUCUGUUCCAAAACCGUUUUUCUUUCCCAUUAAAUCAGUCUCUGUUGCUAUCCUAUGAUCUGCUUUCUGACGUUUAGAGAUGCUUCUGCUGUGGAUCUCAGUUCAUCUCAGAUGAAGAAGAUCUGGGAAGUCGCUGCAGCCAAACUGAAAGCAGCUAAUAAAAAAAUCUGUUGUGUGAAAGACAGAUGGGGCCUGACAGGAAAUGUAAUGGCUGCUCCAUUUGCACUGAGGCUGUUUUAUUGAUUUAUUUUGGUUUAAGUUUGCAGUUGUUUCAGAUUUAAAGUUUGAUUUGUAAAGUAAAUGAAACCACACAGAGGGAGCCGAUCUGUUCCAGGAACCGGGCAGAAAACCUGCAGGUCGGCUGACCGGAGGAUGUUUGAGGCCAGCGCUUUGCUCCUCGCAGCUGCCAGCAGGAGGUCAUUUGUCAAACAGAGAACAACGGCUGGGAGGAUUUAAUGGGAGGAUUUCCACUCUGCAAAGUAUCUGAGGUGGAGGAUCCACAGCAGAGAUUUUCCACUCACUGUGGGAACUUCAAACUGCGGACAAAACAUUUCUGAUCGUCCGAUAUGAGAGACGGUGGUUUUUAAAGCUCAACUGAUGCUUUAAGACUAAAAUGGUUUAUCCAACGUUUCUCCAUGUUUAUCAUCAUUUUAGAUUUUUUCUCCAGGUUUUGAUGCCUGUAAUAGUUUGUCUGAAUGUUUAUAUAACAGAAUAAAAGUGGCUGAAGUUUCUUUAUAUAGAUAAUUUAAGAUUCAAGACAAACUGAUGUGAUGCAUUUUCUGUUAAAUAUUUGAGUUUUUUUACAGAAAUAUUUAACUAUAUUGUUUAAUUCAUUCUUAACAUAUUUAUAUUUUAUUUUAAACAAGUGCAAAACAUGAAGUUAGCCCCAUAAAUAUGAAGAGAUAAAAAUGAACCCACAUGAUGCAGAAAACAAACCAUCUGUUACUGAGGGUCUGAUUUUCACUCUGAGUAAAAACCUUCUGAAGUUUUCUGAUGUUUACACAGAAAAUAAGAUGAAAAACAAUCAAAUGUAAAGAUUGCUUAGAAAGGCCACAAAAUAAUAAAUGUAGAGACUGAAAAAUAAUUUGAAUAUUUAUAUUGCCACAUAUUUUCCUUUCAGUUUUGUGUUUGUUGACGUCUCUCUGAGGAUCUUUGUAUUUUUUUAUGUGUUUUCUGAAUCUCUGACUGCAGGAUCUUUAUGUGUUGUUGCCUGAUUCUAAUAUUUUUAUGUUUGUUUGUUUGUUUUGACUCGUCUCAGUUAUUUUUUUCUCAUAUUCAGCUCUUUCAUGCAGAGUUUUUAAAAAAAAAACUUCAUCCAUUUUCCAGCUGCAUUCAACGUCUUUGUGUUUCUUCUAUGGUUCCUUCACAUUGUAAUGAAGCUCUGGACAGAUCCUGGAUCCCUACCAGAUCCCUACCGGAUCCCUGCCGGGUCGGUUGUUGGUGCCGCUCGGCGUCAGGUUCUGAUGCUGCUGCACAGAUCCAACAGCGUUUUUUUCCCCUCCAUUCCAGCAUUUAUAAAGCCAGUAGUAAAGACACAAACACUGCAGGCUCAACAGGCCGGCGUCACCAUGGCAACCCCAUCCUCCACAUCUGCCUUUCCUGCUGUUUCCUCCUCCUCCUUCUUGUCUAACAGAAAAUCCAUACAGAGGGGAGGAAAGAGAGGAAGAAUCAAUUCCUCCUGGAAGAAGCUUUGUGUUUGUCUCUGCUGCGACACUCAGAUGCUUUGAUUUCCUGAUUUACUCGUCACUGAUGUUUCUGUUACCGGUCUCAAGAAAAGGAAGUAGAAACCAUUGAUUUGUAAAAAAGAAUAAAAUAAAAUAACUUUC
Long non-coding RNA from Xiphophorus hellerii (green swordtail), 4437 nucleotides. RefSeq lists it as uncharacterized. Lineage: Eukaryota; Metazoa; Chordata; Actinopteri; Cyprinodontiformes; Poeciliidae. The record is from RefSeq and is a predicted model, not a curated record. The transcript has 2 exons.